RNAcentral lists this ribosomal RNA (509 nucleotides) under uncultured bacterium. RNAcentral describes it as "partial 16S ribosomal RNA". It matches the Rfam family "Bacterial small subunit ribosomal RNA", at positions 28 to 506 of the family's 1533-position model. The record is from RNAcentral.
GACGAACGCUGGCGGCGUGCUUAACACAUGCAAGUCGAACGAAGAGCGAUGGAAGCUUGCUUCUAUCAAUCUUAGUGGCGAACGGGUGAGUAACGCGUAAUCAACCUGCCCUUCAGAGGGGGACAACAGUUGGAAACGACUGCUAAUACCGCAUACGCUCCAAUCUCGGCAUCGGGACUGGAUGAAAGGUGGCCUCUAUUUAUAAGCUAUCACUGAAGGAGGGGAUUGCGUCUGAUUAGCUAGUUGGAGGGGUAACGGCCCACCAAGGCGAUGAUCAGUAGCCGGUCUGAUAGGAUGAACGGCCACAUUGGGACUGAGACACGGCCCAGACUCCUACGGGAGGCAGCAGUGGGGAAUCUUCCGCAAUGGACGAAAGUCUGACGGAGCAACGCCGCGUGAGUGAUGACGGCCUUCGGGUUGUAAAGCUCUGUUAAUCGGGACGAAUGGUUCUUGUGCGAAUAGUGCGAGGAUUGGACGGUACCGGAAUAGAAAGCCACGGCUAACUACGG